RNAcentral lists this non-coding RNA (26 nucleotides) under Rattus norvegicus (Norway rat). The record is from RNAcentral. Lineage: Eukaryota; Metazoa; Chordata; Mammalia; Rodentia; Muridae.
UGGAUAAAGAUUGCCCCAAGGAAAGC